CGCUCAUGAGGUAAGAAUGAGACCGGUGGAAUAUGGCGAGGAAGUGACUUUUGCCGGCCCUGUUAGCGCUGCGCUACCGUUAGCGCUGUGCUAGCGUGUUGCUGCUGUGUUAGCGGCGGUGUCUCAUUGAUCUUUACCGGCUCAGCUCCAGCACCCAAAUGGAGGGGACGACGGUGCACAGGUAGAGGAACACCAUCGGGGAGAACCUAAAAGAGAAGCUGUCAACGUUUGGAGUUGUACAGCUCCAGCAGUAUCGUAUUUAUGUACAGUCCCUCCCGGAUGGCAGCCAGGGGCAUCCAAGUUCCGGUUCUUCCCUCUCACAUGGUGUACGCCACCCAGUAGAUGACAUUGAC
This is a long non-coding RNA of Syngnathoides biaculeatus (alligator pipefish), 353 nucleotides long. RefSeq lists it as uncharacterized. The record is from RefSeq and is a predicted model, not a curated record. NCBI's taxonomy places the organism in Eukaryota, Metazoa, Chordata, Actinopteri, Syngnathiformes, Syngnathidae. The transcript is spliced from 3 exons.